UCCAUGUUCCAGGACUACAUUCCUGAGAUUGUGGAAGGUGUUUCUGAAUUCGAGGCACCCCCGUCGCCCAACUCCAGCUAUGGUGGAUCAUUCCCAGUGGAUGAGGACUAUGCGAAGGAGCCACCAAUGCUUCCGCCCCAGCUUCACCUCACAGUUCUUGGCUCUCGAGAAGCCGAGGCAUCUUCUACAAAACCUCAGCAUGUUGUUCUCAACCAUCUCUUCAUUGAGAAAGGAUGGGCAUCGCAGUCACUGGUGGCCCUUGGUCUGACCCAUAGGUUUCAAUCCAAGUAUGUAACUGUGGUCCUUUACAAACCUAUGAGAAGGCAAUAGCAAAACUUACCG
This 342-nucleotide long non-coding RNA is filed under the name Musa acuminata (dwarf banana). RNAcentral describes it as "long non-coding RNA (MACU_LNC008006)". Lineage: Eukaryota; Viridiplantae; Streptophyta; Magnoliopsida; Zingiberales; Musaceae. The record is from RNAcentral.